Molecule: long non-coding RNA, 2400 nt
Filed under: Lepisosteus oculatus (spotted gar)
Lineage: Eukaryota; Metazoa; Chordata; Actinopteri; Semionotiformes; Lepisosteidae
Description: lncRNA (ENSLOCG00000021970.1)
Source: RNAcentral
CAGGCGUAUGCACGCGUAAACGAAGUAUAUUUAUGCUCAAAAGAAAUUCAGUUUCUUCUUAGGUUUCUCUUUCCUGUAUUCUCUAUAGUGGACUAGUCCUGCUUAUUUUUAUUGCGGCUCAAAACAUGACAAAUGAUUGCUCAGACACCUCCGUGACAACCGGACUGCUCUAUAUUUAGUUAAUGAUAACCCGGUGGUUCACACAUUGAAGUAUGGGAACCAAUUAUUUGCAAUGAUAAAAAGGUAACCCAGCAAACCCAUGCCAAGAUAAACUAAUACUUGAGCCGCCGGGGGCAACUCUAAACUCAAGAGCUCACUACGAGAUACGUACUGUGAUCUGCAUGUGACUUUCGGGCGCCUGCGAGGCAUGUCCGUUCCACUUUCAUAGUCUGAAGACAGAAAAUAGAAAAUAAAAUAGCGUUAUGAUUGUAAGAGGCACGGGCUGACACGGCCAUCACGGCUCUAGAAGGAAAGUUCUCUUCUGGGGGAGAAGAAGGAGGCAUUUGUAACAUGCCAGUAGCCUACUUUCCUUCAGCUAGGAUAUGUAUGGUCUGCUGCUGUCCGCUGGUCCUCCUUGGUGGGGCUGGAUUUAUACCCGUCUUGGGGGGUCUCUCGCCGCCUCUCUGCCUUGGAGGUCUGUGUGCCAUCGGGGCUCACCUCCCCUCGGGGUCAGCUGGAGACUGCCAGGGUCACACAUUUCUGAUCUCCAAACCUCAAUUUAUAGCUGAAGGUUAUGACUUUCAAGAUUCUCAUGGUUUCCUGUUAAAUCGAGCUGAGUGUUGUUGAAGGCUAUGUGGGGCUUUUUUUUUUGUUUCUUCUCUAUUUUCUUUUUACAGUAAACCUGCCUUUGAUUUUUAUUUUUCAGUUCUUUUUUUAUCAAGGUAGACCUAUAGCUUUGUACAUCAGCUGAUUACACGUCCUUUAGGAAUGAAACAGUGUGUUCCAUAGAUCCUUUAAAGCAGUUUGUUUGCUUUGCUUUGCUCUUGUUUUCAGCUAAUUGGAUAUUAAACUCAUCAAUACAGUGACACAAACUGUUCCCCUACAAAUAAGUUUAGUGUUUUCUACUGAAUUUUUUCUGUGACUCUUAAAGUGUUCGUGUAAGAUUUCAAAUGCUGGAGCUACAAAAGCAGUAGUCUUCAAGUUUAUCACAAGACAGUAAUAAUCUUUAAAAAUGUUCCAGUCGAAUGGGGCAAUGACUGGAUUGUUACUUUCAAUCCCAGCUGCUUAACCUUUCCUGUUUUUAGAGACUAACUGUAGUGCAGGAACUCCGUAUGGGAAUUACCUCCCCUUCCUUACGUUUGCAUAAAAAAAAACAGCUGAAAAUGUAAACUCCUAAAGUUGGACUGCCACGGUUUCUAAUUCAACACAAUGGCAGCAACAAAUGUAUUUUCACACCAGGGUUACAAAUUCUUCAGCAGGGAGGACUUUUCUUUCAAAAGGAGAAUUACUCUUUAAUGUGUGAAUGAGGUGUGUUUUAUACAAAUACAGAGUACAGAGGUUAAGCUUUAAGCUUUUUACACUUCAUAUACAAAUACUCUAAGGGGAGACACUGUUGGUUUGUUAAAUGUAUGACUAAUUAAGAAUAUCUCACUGUUUCUAGUUACAUCAGAUUUUCUCCUACCUCUGUGUACCUCCAUUUUUAUUCUUGUGUUAUUUGCAAUGUUGUAAUCUCUUUUCACUUGUUAUUGUACAAAUAAAAAUCAUUGAGCAUCUUGCUACACUUCAGUCUGAGAUAUUUCUAAGACAAUGCUCUUUGAAUGAUAAUGGGAGGUUAUGUUAUUUGAUCCACGAAAGAAGGACUUGCAUCGUUAACAAGAAACAAAUACGAUGGGGAAAUUGGAACUGUCCAUGUGACAAAAUUGCCAUUUUGAAAAUUACUGGUUUUGCAUUUGAAAAACAUGCAUUUGAAAAACAUGUCAAUCAGAAGUGCCAUUCUAAAAGAACAACUUUCAACUACAGUCCACACUGCUACACAUUGCAGAUGGAGUUUCUCAUAUAGGCAGUGAAAUAAAUUAGGCUACUUCAAACUGAAUCAUAGAUGAUUUCAAACUUAAAAAUGCUACAGGUUCUUGGACUUAUUGUGUUAACUUGUGAAGAAAGAAAACUAUAAUCAUGAAAAAAUUGAGCAAAGAAAACAAUUUAUUGCAUCUGAAUAUGUACUCAGUCAACAGGUAAUAACCUGUUUUGUGUUAUUAGUGAAUCUGUUUCAAUAUAGACAAAUGUAUCAGUUGAAGAAGAAUACUAAAUGAUUGUUCAACAUUUUAAAGUAUUCCAGUUUUGUUUUUAACAUAGUAGUGUGGAUCCCAGUGCAUUAAAAGAUUUUCCAUUAUCCGAGUUUGUUUUGCGGAUGAGAACACAAAACCAUGAGAACAGUCACAGAUGAGUGGACGUUAUUUGACC